GCUGAAUAAGACAAUUGUACUUGACAUGACACUUAAACUCAUUCAAAGACACACUGAAUUACAUCACCACAAUCUAAUUUUAGAACAUUUUCAAUGCCCCCCAAAGAAACUCUCUGCAGGCCUGGGCAACAUAGUGAGACCCUGCCUCUAGAAAAAUUUUUUUGAUUAGCUGGGUGUGGUGGCACUCACCUGGGAGGCUGAGGUGGGAGGAUCCCAGGAGUUAGAGGCUGCAGUGAGCCAUGAUCAUGCCACUACACUUCAGCCUGGGCAACAGAGCAAGACCCUGUCUCUAUUGAAAAAAGUGGUGGGAAGUGGGGGAGAAACCCUGUGCUACAGCAGUCUUCCUGAUUCCUGCUUACCCAUCUCCUACUCCAUCCCCAGACAAUCUCUCUAUGGAUUGGCCUAUUCUGACAUUUCACAUCAGUCAUCUGUUGCUUAAUGACAGACACACAUUUGGAGAAAUGUGUCAUUAGGCAAUUUUCUUCAUGUGUACACAUCAAAGAGUGUCCUUACACAAACCUAAAUGGGACAACCUACUGCAGACCUAGGCUGUAUGACAGAACCUAUUGCUCCUCGGCUACAAACCUGUACAGCAUGCAACUCUACUCAACACUGUAAGAAACUGUAACACAGUGAAAAUAUCUUCUCACUCAAAGUCAAAAACUCCUGUCUUCUUUGAAUGAGUUUUAUACUCCUGGCCCGUAUGUUGAGGACUAUGAUUCGUUUGUGUUUUAUUUUUGUGGAUGGUGUAACAGCAGGUCCAAGUUCUUCAGAUGUCCACGUGUUCUGGUACUGUUUAUUGAAAAGACCAGUUGUAAUGGUUGGAAU
Molecule: long non-coding RNA, 828 nt
Filed under: Homo sapiens (human)
Lineage: Eukaryota; Metazoa; Chordata; Mammalia; Primates; Hominidae
Description: HSALNT0353812
Source: RNAcentral